AUAGGGUCUAGACCUGGCAUAUCUUCAUAGGACCAUGCAAAAAUAUCCGGAUAUUCCCGGAGGAGCUGGAUGAUCUUCUGUUUAACCCCUUCCUCUAGAGUAGCACCAAUCUUGAUUUCUUGCUUGUUUUCCUCGGUACCUAUGUUGAUAAGCUCAAUUUCUUCCUGG
This is a microRNA precursor of Medicago truncatula (barrel medic), 168 nucleotides long. It matches the Rfam family "MIR2680 microRNA precursor family". The record is from Rfam. Lineage: Eukaryota; Viridiplantae; Streptophyta; Magnoliopsida; Fabales; Fabaceae.